This is a long non-coding RNA of Oncorhynchus nerka (sockeye salmon), 289 nucleotides long. RefSeq lists it as uncharacterized. The record is from RefSeq and is a predicted model, not a curated record. Lineage: Eukaryota; Metazoa; Chordata; Actinopteri; Salmoniformes; Salmonidae. The transcript is spliced from 3 exons.
UAAAACAGGGCUGCAGAGGGCAGAGAGACACCACACUACUACUGACGUCCAGAAGACAUCAUCCAGAUAAACAGCCAUCAAUCAGACAGCAUCGUCCAACUGAAAGAGUAAAGGAUGAAGAUCCAGAGUAUGUUACUGCUGUUCGCUCUAGUGGGUGUCCUGUUAGCAAGCUCCCUCAAUGAAAAUAACUCUGAGGAAGCUCUCCUGCAGGAGGAUGAUGUAAAAGAUGGAAAGGCUGCCUUUUUGGCAAAGUUGGCUACUCUGAAGACCAGCCCCUCAGAAGAUGAAG